This 7014-nucleotide long non-coding RNA is filed under the name Citrus x clementina. RNAcentral describes it as "Citrus clementina (C. clementina) long non-coding RNA (CCLE_LNC005919)". The record is from RNAcentral. Lineage: Eukaryota; Viridiplantae; Streptophyta; Magnoliopsida; Sapindales; Rutaceae.
CCCAGCGGAAAAAUGGCCAAAAAACGGGUGGGCUAUAGCCUUGGUGGGGGGCGCGGGCGAAGUUCGUCCGCCGGACUCGGAAUGGGGCGAGACUUUGCGGGGGGCCUCGGGGUGCCAAAAAUAAGCCGCGGGCAAAGCCGCGCCCAAAAAUAAGCUCCCGAAGGUCGUGGUGCCAAAACCCCCCAGCGGAAAAAUGGCCAAAAAAAAGGGUGGGCUAUAGCCUUGGUGGGGGGCGCGGGCGAAGUUCGUCCGCCGGACUCGGAAUGGGGCGAGACUUUGCGAGGGGCCUCGGGGUGCCAAAAAUAAGCCGCGGGCAAAGCCGCGCCCAAAAAUAAGCGCCCGAAGGUCGUGGUGCCAAAACCCCCCAGCGGAAAAAUGGCCAAAAAACGGGUGGGCUAUAGCCUUGGUGGGGGGCGCGGGCGAAGUUCGUCCGCCGGACUCGGAAUGGGGCGAGACUUUGCGAGGGGCCUCGGGGUGCCAAAAAUAAGCCGCGCCCAAAAAUAAGCGCCCGAAGGUCGUGGUGCCAAAACCCCCCAGCGGAAAAAUGGCCAAAAAACGGGUGGGCUAUAGCCUUGGUGGGGGGCGCGGGCGAAGUUCGUCCGCCGGACUCGGAAUGGGGCGAGACUUUGCGAGGGGCCUCGGGGUGCCAAAAAUAAGCCGCGGGCAAAGCCGCGCCCAAAAAUAAGCGCCCGAAGGUCGUGGUGCCAAAACCCCCCAGCGGAAAAAUGGCCAAAAAACGGGUGGGCUAUAGCCUUGGUGGGGGGCGCGGGCGAAGUUCGUCCGCCGGACUCGGAAUGUGGCGAGACUUUGCGAGGGGCCUCGGGGUGCCAAAAAUAAGCCGCGGGCAAAGCCGAGCCCAAAAAUAAGCGCCCGAAGGUCGUGGUGCCAAAACCCCCCAGCGGAAAAAUGGCCAAAAAACAGGUGGGCUAUAGCCUUGGUGGGGGGCGCGGGCGAAGUUCGUCCGCCGGACUCGGAAUGGGGCGAGACUUUGCGAGGGGCCUCGGGGUGCCCAAAAUAAGCCGCGGGCAAAGCCGCGCCCAAAAAUAAGCGCCCAAAGGUCGUGGUGCCAAAACCCCCCAGCGGAAAAAUGGCCAAAAAACGGGUGGGCUAUAGCCUUGGUGGGGGGCGCGGGCGAAGUUCGUCCGCCGGACUCGGAAUCGGGCGAGACUUUGUGAGGAGCCUCGGGGUGCCCGCGGGAAGUCGCGGGCACAGCCGCGUCCAGAAAUAAGCGCCCGAAGGUCGUGGUGCCAAAACCCCCAGCGGAAAAAUGGCCAAAAAACGGGUGGGCUACAGCCUUGGUGGGGGGCGCGGGCGAACUUCGUCCGCCGGACUCGGAAUGGGGCGAGACUUUGCGAGGGGCCUCGGGGUGGCAAAAAUAAGCCGCGGGCAAAGCCGCGCCCAAAAAUAAGCGCCCAAAGGUCGUGGUGCCAAAACCCCCCAGCGGAAAAAUGGCCAAAAAACGGGUGGGCUAUAGCCUUGGUGGGGGGCGCGGGCGAAGUUCGUCCACCGGACUCGGAAUGGGGCGAGACUUUUCGAGGGGCCUGGGAGCAUCAAAAAUAAGCCGCGGGCAAAGCCGCACCCAAAAAUAAGCGCCCGAAGGUCGUGGUGCCAAAACUCCCAGCGGAAAAAUGGGCCAAAAACGGGUGUGGCUAUGGCCUUGGUGGGGGGCGCGGGCGAAGUUUGUCCGCCGGACUUGGAAUGGGGCGAGACUUUGCGAGGGGCCUCGGGGUGCCAAAAAUAAGCCGCGGGCAAAGCCGCGCCCAAAAAUAAGCGCCCAAAGGUCGUGGUGCCAAAACCCCCCAGCGGAAAAAUGGCCAAAACACGGGUGGGCUAUAGCCUUGGUGGGGGGCGCGGGCGAAGUUCGUCCGCCGGACUCGGAAUGGGGCGAGACUUUGCGAGGGGCCUUGGGGUGCCCGCGGGAAGUCGCGGGCACAGCCGCGUCCAAAAAGAAGCGCCCGAAGGUCGUGGUGCCAAAACCCCCCAGCGGAAAAAUGGCCAAAAAACGGGCGGGCUAUAGCCUUGGUGGGGGGCGCGGGCGAAGUUCGUCCGCCGGACUCGGAAUGGGGCGAGACUUUGCGAGGGGCCUCGGGGUACCAAAAAUAAGCCGCGGGCAAAGCCGCGCCCAAAAAUAAGCGCCCGAAGGUCGUGGUGCCAAAACCCCCCAGCGGAAAAAUGGCCAAAAAACGGGUGGGCUAUAGCCUUGGUGGGGGCCGCGGGCGAAGUUCGUCCGCCGGACUCGGAAUGGGGCGAGACUUUUCGAGGGGCCUCGGGGUACCAAAAAUAAGCCGCGGGCAAAGCCGCGCCCAAAAAUAAGCGCCCGAAGGUCAUGGUGCCAAAACCCCCCAGCGGAAAAAUGGCCAAAAAACGGGUGGGCUAUAGCCUUGGUGGGGGGCGCGGGCGAAGUUCGUCCGCCGGACUCAGAAUGGGGCGAGACUUUGCGAGGGGCCUCGGGGUANNNNNNNNNNNNNNNNNNNNNNNNNNNNNNNNNNNNNNNNNNNNNNNNNNNNNNNNNNNNNNNNNNNNNNNNNNNNNNNNNNNNNNNNNNNNNNNNNNNNNNNNNNNNNNNNNNNNNNNNNNNNNNNNNNNNNNNNNNNNNNNNNNNNNNNNNNNNNNNNNNNNNNNNNNNNNNNNNNNNNNNNNNNNNNNNNNNNNNNNNNNNNNNNNNNNNNNNNNNNNNNNNNNNNNNNNNNNNNNNNNNNNNNNNNCAGCGGAAAAAUGGCCAAAAAACGGGUGGGCUAUAGCCUUGGUGGGGGGCGCGGGCGAAGUUCGUCCGCUGGACUCGGAAUGGGGCGAGACUUUGCGAGGGGCCUAGGGGUGCCAGAAAUAAUCCGCGGGCAAAGCCGCGCCCAAAAAUAAGCGCCCGAAGGUCGUGGUGCCAAAACCCCCCAGCGGAAAAAUGGCCAAAAAACGGGUGGGCUAUAGCCUUGGUGGGGGGCGUGGGCGAAGUUCGUCCGCCGGACUCGGAAUGGGGCGAGACUUUGCGAGGGGCGUCGGGGUGCCCCCAGGAAGUCGCGGGCACAGCCGCGUCCAAAAAUAAGCGCCCGAAGGUCGUGGUGCCAAAACCCCCCAGCGGAAAAAUGGCCAAAAAACGGGUGGGCUAUAGCCUUGGUGGGGGGCGCGGGCGAAGUUCGUCCGCCGGACUCGGAAUGGGGCGAGACUUUGCGAGGGGCCUCGGGGUGCCAAAAAUAAGCCGCGGGCAAAGCCGCGCCCAAAAAUAAGCGCCCGAAGGUCGUGGUGCGAAAACCCCCCAGCGGAAAAAUGGCCAAAAAACGGGUGGGCUAUAGCCUUGGUGGGGGGCGCGGGCGAAGUUCGUCCGCCGGACUCGGAAUGGGGCGAGACUUUGCGAGGGGCCUCGGGGCGCCAAAAAUAAGCCGCGGGCAAAGCCGCGCCCAAAAAUAAGCGCCCGAAGGUCGUGGUGCCAAAACCCCCCAGCGGAAAAAUGGCCAAAAAACGGGUGGGCUAUAGCCUUGGUGGGGGGCGUGGGCGAAGUUCGUCCGCCGGACUCGGAAUGGGGCGAGACUUUGCGAGGGGCGUCGGGGUGCCCCCAGGAAGUCGCGGGCACAGCCGCGUCCAAAAAUAAGCGCCCGAAGGUCGUGGUGCCAAAACCCCCCAGCGGAAAAAUGGCCAAAAAACGGGUGGGCUAUAGCCUUGGUGGGGGGCGCGGGCGAAGUUCGUCCGCCGGACUCGGAAUGGGGCGAGACUUUGCGAGGGGACUCGGGGUGCACGCGGGAAGUUGCGGGCACAGCCGCGUCCAAAAAUAAGCGCCCGAAGGUCGUGGUGCCAAAACCCCCCAGCGGAAAAAUGGCCAAAAAACGGGUGGGCUAUAGCCUUGGUGGGGGGCGCGGGCGAAGUUCGUCCGCCGGACUCGGAAUGGGGCGAGACUUUGCGAGGGGCCUCGGGGUGCCAAAAAUAAGCCGCGGGCAAAGCCGCGCCCAAAAAUAAGCGCCCGAAGGUCGUGGUGCGAAAACCCCCCAGCGGAAAAAUGGCCAAAAAACGGGUGGGCUAUAGCCUUGGUGGGGGGCGCGGGCGAAGUUCGUCCGCCGGACUCGGAAUGGGGCGAGACUUUGCGAGGGGCCUCGGGGUGCCCGCGGGAAGUCGCGGGCACAGCCGCGUCCAAAAAUAAGCGCCCGAAGGUCGUGGUGCCAAAACCCCCAGCGGAAAAAUGGCCAAAAAACGGUUGGCUAUAGCCUUGGUGGGGGGCGCGGGCGAAGUUCGUCCGCCAGACUCGGAAUGGGGCGAGACUUUGCGAGGGGCCUCGGGGUGCCAAAAAUAAGGCGCGGGCAAAGCCGCGCCCAAAAAUAAGCGCCCAAAGGUCGUGUUGCCAAAACCCCCCAGCGGAAAAAUGGCCAAAAAACGGGUGGGCUAUAGCCUUGGUGGUGGGCGCGGGCGAAGUUCGUCCGCCGGACUCGGAAUGGGGCGAGACUUUGCGAGGGGCCUCGGGGUGCCCGCGGGAAGUCGCGGGGCUACCGUAACAAGUUUCCUAAAUGUAGAACUGGUGGUGCCAAACCCCCCAGCGGAAAAAUGGCCAAAAAACGGGUGGGCUAUAGCCUUGGUGGGGGGCCGCGGGCGAAGUUCGUCCGCCGGACUCGGAGUGGGGCGAGACUUUGCGAGGGGCCUCGGGGUGCCCGCGGGAAGUCGCGGGCACAGCCGCGUCCAAAAAUAAGCGCCCGAAGGUCGUGGUGCCAAAACCCCCAGCGGAAAAAUGGCCAAAAAACGGUUGGCUAUAGCCUUGGUGGGGGGCGCGGGCGAAGUUCGUCCGCCAGACUCGGAAUGGGGCGAGACUUUGCGAGGGUCCUUGGGGUGCCAAAAAUAAGCCGCGGGCAAAGCCGCGCCCAAAAAUAAGUGCCCGAAGGUCGUGGUGCCAAAACCCCCCAGCGGAAAAAUGGCCAAAAAACGGGUGGGCUAUAGCCUUGGUGGGGGGCGCGGGCGAAGUUUGUCCGCCGGACUCGAAAUGGGGCGAGACUUUGCGAGGGGCCUCGGGGCACCAAAAAUAAGGCGCGGGCAAAGCCGCGCCCAAAAAUAAGCGCCCGAAGGUCGUGAUGCCAAAACCCCCCAGCAGAAAAAUGGCCAAAAAACGGGUGGGCUAUAGCCUUGGUGGGGGGCGCGGGCGUAGUUCGUCCGCCGGACUCGGAAUGGGGCGAGACUUUGCGCGGAGCCUCGGGUCGCCAAAAAUAAGCCGCGGGCAAAGCUGCGCCCAAAAAUAAGCGCCCGAAGGUCGUGGUGCCAAAACCCCCCAGCGCAAAAAUGUCCAAAAAACGGGUGGGCUAUAGCCUUGGUGGGGGGCGCGGGCGAAGUUCGUCCGCCGGACUCGGAAUGGGGCGAGACUUUGCGCGGAGCCUCGGGGCGCCAAAAAUAAGCCGCGGGCAAAGCCGCGCCCAAAAAUAAGCGUCCGAAGGUCGUGGUGCCAAAACCCCCCAGCGGAAAAAUGGCCAAAAAACGGGUGGGCUAUAGCCUUGGUGGGGGGCGCGGGCGAAGUUCGUCCGCCGGACUCGGAAUGGGGCGAGACUUUGCGAGGGGCCUCGGGGUGCCCCCAGGAAGUCGCGGGCACAGCCGCGUCCAAAAAUAAGCGCCCGAAGGUCGUGGUGCCAAAACCCCCCAGCGGAAAAAUGGCCAAAAAACGGGUGGGCUAUAGCCUUGGUGGGGGGCGCGGGCGAAGUUCGUCCGCUGGACUCGGAAUGGGGCGAGACUUUGCGAGGGGCCUCGGGGUGCCAAAACUAAGCCGCGGGCAAAGCCGCGCCCAAAAAUAAGCGCCCGAUGGUCCUGGUGCCAAAACCCCCCAGCGGAAAAAUGGCCAAAAAACGGGUGGGCUAUAGCCUUGGUGGGGGGCGCGGGUGAAGUUCGUCUGCUGGACUCGGAAUGGGACGAGACUUUGCGAGGGGCCUCGGGGUGCCCGCGGGAAGUCGCGGGCACAGCCACAUCCAGAAAUAAGCGCCCGAAGGUCGUGGUGCCAAAACCCCCCAGCGGAAAAAUGGCCAAAAAACGGGUGGGCUAUAGCCUUGGUGGGGGGCGCGGGCGAAGUUCGUCCGCCGGACUCGGAAUGGGGCGAGACUUUGCGAGGGGACUCGGGGUGCACGCGGGAAGUUGCGGGCACAGCCGCGUCCAAAAAUAAGCGCCCGAAGGUCGUGGUGCCAAAACCCCCCAGCGGAAAAAUGGCCAAAAAACGGGUGGGCUAUAGCCUUGGUGGGGGGCGCGGGCGAAGUUCGUCCGCCGGACUUGGAAUGGGGCGAGACUUUGCGAGGGGCCUCGGGGUGCCAAAAAUAAGCCGCGGGCAAAGCCGCGCCCAAAAAUAAGCGCCCGAAGGUCGUGGUGCGAAAACCCCCCAGCGGAAAAAUGGCCAAAAAACGGGUGGGCUAUAGCCUUGGUGGGGGGCGCGGGCGAAGUUCGUCCGCCGGACUCGGAAUGGGGCGGGACUUUGCGAGGGGCCUCGGGGUGCCAAAAAUAAGCCGCGGGCAAAGCCGCGCCCGAAGGUCGUGGUGCGAAAACCCCCCAGCGGAAAAAUGGCCAAAAAACGGGUGGGCUAUAGCCUUGGUGGGGGGCGCGGGCGAAGUUCGUCCGCCGGACUCGGAAUGGGGCGAGACUUUGCGAGGGGACUCGGGGUGCCCGCGGGAAGUUGCGGGCACAGCCGCGUCCAAAAAUAAGCGCCCGAAGGUCGUGGUGCCAAAACCCCCCAGCGGAAAAAUGGCCAAAAAACGGGUGGGCUAUAGCCUUGGUGGGGGGCGCGGGCGAAGUUCGUCCGCCGGACUCGGAAUGGGGCGAGACUUUGCGAGGGGCCUCGGGGUGCCCCCAGGAAGUCGCGGGCACAGCCGCGUCCAAAAAUAAGCGCCCGAAGGUCGUGGUGCCAAAACCCGCCAGCGGAAAAAUGGCCAAAAAACGGGUGGGCUAUAGCCUUGGUGGGGGGCGCGGGCGAAGUUCGUCCGCCGGACUCGGAAUGGGGCGAGACUUUGCGAGGGGCCUCGGGGUGCCCGCGGGAAGUCGCGGGCACAGCCGCGUCCAAAAAUAAGCGCCCGAAGGUCA